Molecule: unclassified non-coding RNA, 783 nt
Filed under: Hevea brasiliensis (rubber tree)
Lineage: Eukaryota; Viridiplantae; Streptophyta; Magnoliopsida; Malpighiales; Euphorbiaceae
Source: RNAcentral
AAAACUUACAAAUAUUUGCAGAGCAUAAAUUGAUGUUUUUAAUUGUCAAAUAGCUUGUCAGCAGUGAUGGAGCCAGGAAUUCAACUGAGGGGGGUCCAAAUUAAAAUAUGUAAUUUGUAAAAAUAAUAUACAUAAACAAAUAUAAAUUGACAAGAAGAUUGUUUAGAAAAUAUUAAUAAACUGUUACAAUUAAAUUACAAUAAUCAUCGUCUAUUUUUCAUUGACUGAAAUCUAUCGAUAAUAACUUCAUUGUCAAUACUUGCAAAUACAUCCCUUUCAAUGUAAGUCAGCAAACAAUCAUUUAGUAGCUUAUCUCCCAUUCUAUUACGAAGUGAACUUUUAAUGAUAUUCAUUACAGAAAAAGCUCUUUCCACGGUGGCUGUAGCAACAUAAUGAGAAUUCCAACUAGUAUCUCCCGGUCUCUUCAAUGCCAUUUCUUGAUUUAGACCUUGUCCAGUUUUUAUUUCACCUUUUGCAAUUCCUUCAAACACUUUCUCUAGUUUUUUUUCUCAAAGCAUGUCCCUGAUUCCUAAUAUUAGGUGGAUAGCUCAUUAUGUUAGGUCGCAGUCCUGGAUCAGAAGGAAUGUUUUCUAUAUUGACCUCAACUUCCUCAACAAUCACCUGCUUAGGUGGUACUGAUUGAAUAGGUUGAUUGAUUGAUGAUGAUGAUUAUGUAGAUUUAGGCAAAUGAUUCUUGAAAUUGUGGAGUAAAGUAGAAUUGAAGAAAAGAGUGAAGUAGAGAUGAAGAGAGAAUUGCAAAGGGGAAGCUCUUUUUGUUGGCAG